This 491-nucleotide ribosomal RNA is filed under the name Glyphochilus sp. NLG. Its description in RNAcentral is "partial 16S ribosomal RNA". Lineage: Eukaryota; Metazoa; Arthropoda; Insecta; Coleoptera; Elateridae. The record is from RNAcentral.
CAUGUCUUUUUGAUUAUAAUUUAAGGUUUAAUCUGCUCAAUGAGGUUUUAAAUUGCCGCGGUAUUUUGACCGUGCAAAGGUAGCAUAAUAAUUAGUUUCUUUAUUGGAAGCUGGAAUGAAUGAUUGGACGAGAAAAUUACUGUCUCUAUAUUAAUUUUUUUUUGAAAUUAACUUUUAAGUUAAAAGGCUUAAAUUUUAUUUAAAGACGAGAAGACCCUAUAGAGUUUGACAAAAUUUUAUUAUUUGAUUUUUUGGUAUUUGUUUAGUUUUAAUUUUUGUUUGGUUGGGGUGACUAGAAGAUUAAUAGAACUCUUCUAAAAUUUUAAAUCAAUGAUUUUUGAAUGUUUAAUCUGAUUUUUUCAAGUUUAAUUUAAAUUACCUUAGGGAUAACAGCGUAAUUUUUCUUUAGAGUUCUUAUUGAAAGAAAAGUUUGCGACCUCGAUGUUGGAUUAAAAUAUAUGUUUGGUGUAGAAGCUGAAUUAUUGAGUCUG